UCGAGGAUCUUCGGCAAUGGGCGCAAGCCUGACCGAGCGACGCCGCGUGUGCGAUGAAGGCCUUCGGGUUGUAAAGCACUGUCGAGGGGGAGAAAGGUCCGCAAGGGCUUGAUCUAUCCCUGGAGGAAGCACGGGCUAAGUUCGUGCCAGCAGCCGCGGUAAGACGAACCGUGCGAACGUUGUUCGGAAUCACUGGGCUUAAAGGGCGCGUAGGCGGUCCAUCAAGUCUGGGGUGAAAUCUUUCGGCUUAACCGGAAAAGUGCCUGAGAUACUGAUGGACUUGAGCGAGAUAGGGGGAGCUGGAACUUCCAGUGGAGCGGUGAAAUGCGUUGAUAUUGGAAGGAACUCCGGUGGCGAAAGCGAGCUCCUGGAUCUCUUCUGACGCUGAGGCGCGAAAGCUAGGGGAGCAAACGGGAUUAGAUACCCCCGUAGUCC
RNAcentral lists this ribosomal RNA (435 nucleotides) under uncultured bacterium. RNAcentral describes it as "bacterial SSU rRNA". It matches the Rfam family "Bacterial small subunit ribosomal RNA", at positions 355 to 796 of the family's 1533-position model. The record is from RNAcentral.